RNAcentral lists this ribosomal RNA (253 nucleotides) under uncultured bacterium. RNAcentral's name for it is "partial 16S ribosomal RNA". It matches the Rfam family "Bacterial small subunit ribosomal RNA", at positions 524 to 776 of the family's 1533-position model. The record is from RNAcentral.
UACGAAGGGGGCUAGCGUUGUUCGGAAUCAUUGGGCGUAAAGCGUGCGUAGACGGUUACAUAAGUCGGGUGUGAAAGCCCCGGGCUCAACCUGGGAAUCGCAUUCGAGACUGCGUAGCUAGGGUGCGGAAGAGGGAAGCGGAAUUUCCGGUGUAGCGGUGAAAUGCGUAGAUAUCGGAAGGAACACCAGUGGCGAAAGCGGCUUCCUGGUCCAAUAUUGACGCUGAGGAGCGAAAGCCAGGGGAGCAAACGGG